UCAUCUGUCCUUCAAAAUUUAAAAGUUAAUGAGAUGUCUAAAAUUUAAUGAAAAUUACAUUGAAAGGUUAUGUCACAUAGAUAUACAGACACAGUUCCCUCUAACAAAAGCGUGUUAAUAAUAAUUGUUAUUUACAUUCUGAGUACUGCUUAGCAUUUUCGUAACAUGAAACCCAUGUUCACGUUGUGAAAGUAGACCAGUAUAUGAAUACCGGUAAAUUGUUCGAAAGAAAUCGGUAAUGUUCAAUUCAUUCAUUUCAAUCAUUCAUUCAUCAAUUCAAUCAUGUUCGAAAGGAGGAUCACAACCUUGAACGGCUGAUGGUGACGGGCAAGAUACAGGCCCAACGUCUCAGAGGACGCCGUCCCACGAGAUGGUCGGACCAAAUUCGGUCUUGUCGGGAUAUCAAGCUCCACGAUGCCCUCCACGAGGCCAAGGAUCGCAGCAGAUGGAGGACGAUCUGUUAUACGGAGGAAAUCGCCGGACUUCCGCCUUCCACUGAGGUUUCACGCCUUCCACUCAUUCGGACGCCGGACCGGCGGUCGUCGGCGCCACGACCACCAGCCCUCUCAGUCGGCAGGCUAUGCGAAUAUAACACAAUCCGAACCCGCUUAUAACACAGUUUGAUUUGAAAAUUGUCAAUUUCAUUUAUCAGUACUUUCAAACAAUAAUUUAGUUUUUUUUAAGUACAACUAACUGAAAAUACAUAUUUAUUAUUUUUAUGACAA
This is a long non-coding RNA of Bombyx mori (domestic silkworm), 725 nucleotides long. RefSeq lists it as uncharacterized. The record is from RefSeq and is a predicted model, not a curated record. NCBI's taxonomy places the organism in Eukaryota, Metazoa, Arthropoda, Insecta, Lepidoptera, Bombycidae. The transcript is spliced from 2 exons.